Long non-coding RNA from Brienomyrus brachyistius, 386 nucleotides. RefSeq lists it as uncharacterized. NCBI's taxonomy places the organism in Eukaryota, Metazoa, Chordata, Actinopteri, Osteoglossiformes, Mormyridae. The record is from RefSeq and is a predicted model, not a curated record. The transcript is spliced from 2 exons.
UCUUGGUGAAUAGCAUUUAGCAAAUGUCUGGAGUACGUUGAAAAUACACAGUGUCUAGUUUGGCUUUGAGAGUAUCACAGACGGCUAGUUAAUUAUGUUAACCAGAAUGAAAAUUCCGAAAGCUGUUUCCUGGACCAACGACCAGCACUGGGGAGCCUGGGACCUGUGGGACGAGGUGAUCGACUGGGGAGAGAGGAAAGCCCGCUGUUCCUGGGAAAAGCCACCUGCCAAUCAUCCUUGGAGCAGCAGUCAUUCUCAGGAUCUCCUACAUCACAGAUCACCUAAUAAACACAGGACCUGUCGACGACUGGAGAAAAGGAGAAACGCUGAAGCACACUGGGCAUUUUGGAAGCAUUUCAUCAUAAUAAAUUACCUUUGCCUUUACA